This 70-nucleotide transfer RNA is filed under the name Scarus iseri (striped parrotfish). Its description in RNAcentral is "tRNA-Met". Lineage: Eukaryota; Metazoa; Chordata; Actinopteri; Labriformes; Labridae. The record is from RNAcentral. RNAcentral also lists the same sequence under 22 other names.
AGCAAAGUAAGCUAAUAGAAGCUAUUGGGCCCAUACCCCAAAAAUGUUGACUAAUACUCAGCCUUUGUUA